Long non-coding RNA from Mangifera indica (mango), 268 nucleotides. RefSeq lists it as uncharacterized. The transcript has 3 exons. The record is from RefSeq and is a predicted model, not a curated record. Lineage: Eukaryota; Viridiplantae; Streptophyta; Magnoliopsida; Sapindales; Anacardiaceae.
AAAUUCAAAAUGCACAUGGCGUUAUGGAUAUACUUCCAGAAAUGCUAAGUGCAUUAGAUCCAAGCAACAAAGAGGCUGUUAGGCAGGAUGUUAUUGAGAGUGGUAAAUCUUGUUAAUUCAACUGCAGAUGAAUCACUGCUAUGUCAAGGCUUAGCACUGAAUGAUGACUUGCAGCGUGUACUAGUCAAGCAUGAAUCGAUUGCUGUGGGGAAAUCUGCUUGAGUGGAGAAGCCAAAGCCUGAACCUAGUGGGGCACUUGUAGAUGUAG